CCUACGGGCGGCAGCAGUGGGGAAUAUUGCACAAUGGGGGAAACCCUGAUGCAGCGACGCCGCGUGAGUGAAGAAGUAAUUCGUUAUGUAAAGCUCUAUCAGCAGGGAAGAAAAUGACGGUACCUGAGUAAGAAGCCCCGGCUAACUACGUGCCAGCAGCCGCGGUAAUACGUAGGGGGCAAGCGUUAUCCGGAUUUACUGGGUGGAAAGGGAGCGUAGACGGCAGUGCAAGUCUGGAGUGAAAGGCGGGGGCUCAACCCCCGGACUGCUCUGGAAACUGUACGGCUGGAGUGCAGGAGAGGUAAGUGGAAUUCCUAGUGUAGCGGUGAAAUGCGUAGAUAGUAGGAGGAACACCAGUGGCGAAGGCGGCUUACUGGACUGUAACUGACGUUGAGGCUCGAAAGCGUGGGGAGCAAACAGGAUUAGAUACCCUUGUAGUC
This 440-nucleotide ribosomal RNA is filed under the name uncultured bacterium. Its description in RNAcentral is "partial 16S ribosomal RNA". It matches the Rfam family "Bacterial small subunit ribosomal RNA", at positions 338 to 795 of the family's 1533-position model. The record is from RNAcentral.